This 1140-nucleotide ribosomal RNA is filed under the name Triticum aestivum (bread wheat). Its description in RNAcentral is "partial small subunit ribosomal RNA". Lineage: Eukaryota; Viridiplantae; Streptophyta; Magnoliopsida; Poales; Poaceae. The record is from RNAcentral.
AUGUGGGGCGAGAGGGCUCACCACAAGCAUGGGCACCAUCACGACAACGUGGGUUCCAGGGACCGGCAGCCCAAGUUCAUAGCAGACAACUACAGCUCAGUGGAUGAGGUCGUUGCUGCGUUGAGGGAAGCUGGCCUUGAAUCAUCAAAUCUGAUUCUCGGUAUUGACUUCACCAAAAGCAAUGAAUGGUCAGGUAGGCAUUCCUUUGGAAGAAAAUCUCUGCAUGCCAUUAGUGGCACCCCAAAUCCAUAUGAGCAAGCCAUCUCUAUAAUUGGGCGAACACUAUCACCUUUUGAUGAUGAUAACUUGAUACCAUGCUUUGGGUUUGGUGAUGCUUCUACACAUGAUCAUUCGGUCUUCAGCUUUUACCAAGAAAACCGUCCUUGUCGUGGUUUUGAGGAGGUUCUUGACAGAUACCGACAAAUUGUUCCACAUUUGAACCUUUCAGGACCAACUUCUUUUGCACCUCUUAUCUACGCGGCGAUGUCAGUUGUCGAAAGCAGUAACUGCCAAUAUCAUGUCCUCGUCAUCAUAGCUGAUGGGCAGGUGACCACCUCAAAUUCAAGUGCAAGAUUAAGUCCACAAGAACAGGCAACUAUACAAGCAAUUGUUGAUGCUAGCUUCUAUCCUCUUUCGAUUGUUAUGGUGGGAGUGGGCGAUGGACCAUGGGAUGCAAUGCAGCAUUUUGAUGACUGUAUUCCUGACAGAGCUUUUGACAAUUUCCAGUUCGUGAACUUUACUGGUCUCAUGUCAACAAGCAAGGAUAUGUCGAAGAAGGAGGCCGCAUUUGCACUUGCAGCGCUGAUGGAAAUACCCACCCAAUACAAAGCGACUCAAGGCCUCCGACCUCCAGAGAGGCACGCACAAAAUCCCAACCCUCCAAGGAUCCUUCCCCCUCCCAGCAAAGUUCUUGAACAUGACAAUAUUGCCGCAGCUUCCCGUGCUCCAGACGCAACCUCCCAGUCAACCGACGUUGGCUACACCGCUUCGGAUGAAAAGGUAUGUCCCAUCUGCUUAACGAAUCCAAAGGACAUGGCCUUCCAAUGCGGCCAUCUGACAUGCAAGGAAUGCGGGCCGACGCUAUCGACAUGCCCCUUGUGCCGCGCGCCGAUCACUGUCCGUGUGAGGCUCUUUUCAUAA